This 247-nucleotide long non-coding RNA is filed under the name Lathyrus oleraceus (garden pea). Its description in RNAcentral is "Pisum sativum (pea) long non-coding RNA (PSAT_LNC026899)". Lineage: Eukaryota; Viridiplantae; Streptophyta; Magnoliopsida; Fabales; Fabaceae. The record is from RNAcentral.
UAGAUACAAGUCUUCCGCUUCGGCUCUGGGACUGUUGCCAUCUCUAUCGGCGAAUCAAACUCUGGAAUGUACCUGAGGAAUGAUAUGCAUGCAAGGAUCAGUUUUUUUUUCUCUUUUUUUUUCUUUUUUUUUCUUUUUUUUUUUGAUUUUUUUUUUGUUGCGUUUCUUUUGAAAAAUAAAUAUGCUAUGAUGCACAUGAUGCAGACUGGACUGGCUGGUUGCGCAAUCUCUGAUCACAAAGUCGAAG